Molecule: microRNA precursor, 95 nt
Filed under: Microtus ochrogaster (prairie vole)
Lineage: Eukaryota; Metazoa; Chordata; Mammalia; Rodentia; Cricetidae
Description: microRNA 322 (ENSMOCG00000008459.1)
Rfam family: mir-322 microRNA precursor family (bases 13-95)
Source: RNAcentral
CCUCGUUGGCUCCGAAGGGAUGCAGCAGCAAUUCAUGUUUUGGAGUAUUGCAAAGGUUCAAAACAUGAAGCGCUGCACCACCCCUUCGCGGGAAA